This 5002-nucleotide long non-coding RNA is filed under the name Nicotiana tabacum (common tobacco). RNAcentral describes it as "long non-coding RNA (NTAB_LNC006265)". The record is from RNAcentral. Lineage: Eukaryota; Viridiplantae; Streptophyta; Magnoliopsida; Solanales; Solanaceae.
UCAGUUUAGGGUUUAAAACCCUAAUGCUGACUCUGACUACAGGAAAAGUUCAGUUUAGGGUUUAAAAUCCUAAUGCUGACUGAAUGGAAAAGAGUUCAGUUUAGGGUUUAAAACCCUAAUGCUGACUACAGGAAAAGUUCAGUUUAGGGUUUAAAACCCUAAUGCUGACUGAAUGAAAAAGAGUUCAAUUUAGGGUCUAAAACCCUAAUGCUGAAUAAAUGGAAAAGUUCAGUUUAGGGUUUAAAACCCUAAUGCUGACUAAAGGAAAGAGUUCAGUUUAGGGUUUAAAACCCUAAUGAUGACUAAAGGGAAAGUUCAGUUUAGGGUUUAAAACCCUAAUGCUGACUGAAUGGAAAAAGUUCAGUUUAGGGUUUAAAACCCUAAUGCUGACUAAAUGGAAAAAGUUCAGUUUAGGGUUUAAAACCCUAAUGCUGACUAAAGGGAAAGUUCAGUUUAGGGUUUAAAACCCUAAUACUGACUGGCUGGAAAGAGUUAAGUUUAGAGUUUAAAACCCUAAUGCUGACUGAAUGGAAAAAGUUCAGUUUAGGGUUUAAAACCCUAAUGCUGACUCUGACUACAGGAAAAAGUUCAGUUUAGGGUUUAAAAUCCUAAUGCUGACUCUGACUACAGGAAAAGUUCAGUUUAGGGUUUAAAAUCCUAAUGCUGACUGAAUGGAAAAAGUUCAGUUUAGGGUUUAAAACCCUAAUGCUGACUAAAUGGAAAAAGUUCAGUUUAGGGUUUAAAACCCUAAUGCUGACUAAAGGAAAGAGUUCAGUUUAGGGUUUAAAACCCUAAUGCUGACUGAAUUGAAAAAGUUCAGUUUAGGGUUUAAAACCCUAAUGCUGACUAAAGGAAACAGUUCAGUUUAGGGUUUAAAACCCUAAUGCUGACUGAAUGGAAAAAGUUCAGUUUAGGAUUUAAAACCCUAAUGCUGACUAAAGGAAAGAGUUCAGUUUAGGGUUUAAAACCCUAAUGCUGACUGAAUGGAAAAAGUUCAGUUUAGGGUUUAAAACCCUAAUGCUGACUGAAUGAAAAAGAGUUCAGUUUAGGGUCUAAAACCCUAAUGCUGACUAAAUGGAAAAGUUCAGUUUAGGGUUUAAAACCCUAAUGCUGACUAAAGGAAAGAGUUCAGUUUAGGGUUUAAAACCCUAAUGCUAACUAAAGGGAAAGUUCAGUUUAGGGUUUAAAACCCUAAUGCUGACUAAAGGAAACAGUUCAGUUUAGGGUUUAAAACCCUAAUGCUGACUAAAGGGAAAGUUAAGUUUAGAGUUUAAAACCCUAAUACUGACUGGCUGGAAAGAGUUCAGUUUAGGGUUUGAAACCCUAAUGCUGACUCUGACUACAGGAAAAAGUUCAGUUUAGGGUUUAAAACCCUAAUGCUGACUGAAUAGAAAAGAGUUCAGUUUAGGGUUUAAAACCCUAAUGCUGACUACAGGAAAAGUUCAGUUUAGGGUCUAAAACCCUAAUGCUGACUGAAGGGAAAAGUUCAGUUUAAGGUUUAAAACCCUAAUCCUGAUUAAAGGAAAGAGUUCAGUUUAGGGUUUAAAACCUUAAUGCUGGCUGAAUGGAAAAAGUUUAGUUUAGGGUUUAAAACCCUAAUGCUGACUGAAUGGAAAAGGUUCAGUUUAGGGUUUAAAACCCUAAUGCUGACUGAAUGGAAAAAGUUCAGUUUAGGGUUUAAAACCCUAAUGCUGACUGAAGGAAAGAGUUCAGUUUAGGGUUUAAAACCCUAAUGCUGACUGAAAGGAAAAGUUCAGUUUAGGGUUUAAAACCCUAAUGCUGACUAAAGGAAAGAGUUCAGUUUAGGGUUUAAAACCCUAAUGCUAACUGAAUAGAAAAGUUCAGUUUUGGAUUUAAAACUCUAAUGCUGACUAAAUGGAAAAGUUCAGUUUAGGGUUUAAAACCCUAAUGCUGACUAAAGGAAAGAGUUCAGUUUAGGGUUUAAAACCCUAAUGCUAACUGAAUGGAAAAGUUCAGUUUAUGGUUUAAAACCCUAAUGCUGACUAAAUGGAAAAGUUCAGUUUAGGGUUUAAAACCCUAAUGCUGACUGAAUGGAAAAAGUUCAGUUUACGGUAUAAAACCCUAAUGCUGACCAAAGAAAAAAGUUCAGUUUAGGGUUUAAAACCCUAAUGCUGACUAAAGGAAAAAGUUCAGUUUAGGGUUUAAAACCCUAAUGCUGACUGAAGGAAAGAGUUCAGUUUAGGGUUUAAAACCCUAAUGCUGACUGAAUGGAAAAGUUCAGUUUAGGGUUUUAAAACCCUAAUGCUGACUAAAGGAAAAGUUCAGUUUAGGGUUUAAAACCCUAAUGCUGACUACAUGGAAAAAGUUCAGUUUAGGGUUUAAAACUCUAAUGCUGACUAAAGGAAAAGUUCAGUUUAGGGUUUAAAAACCUAAUGCUGACUGAAUGGAAAAGUUCAGUUUAGGGUUUAAAACCCUAAUAAUGACUAAAUGGAAAAAGUUCAGUUUAGGGUUUAAAAGCCUAAUGCUGACUAAAGAGAAAAAGUUCAGUUUAGGGUUUAAAACCCUAAUCUUGACUAAAGGAAAGAGUUCAGUUUAGGGUUUAAAACACUAAUGCUGACUGAAUGGAAAUAGUUCAGUUUAGGGUUUAAAACCCUAAUGAUGACUACAUGGAAAAAGUUCAGUUUAGGGUUUAAAACCCUAAUGCUGACUACAUGGAAAAAGUUCAGUUUAGGGUUUAAAACCCUAAUGCUGACUACAUGGAAAAAGUUCAGUUUAGGGUUUAAAACCCUAAUGCUGACUAAAGGAAAAGUUCAGUUUAGGGUUUAAAACCCUAAUGCUGACUAAAGGAAAAGUUCAGUUUAGGGUUUAAAACCCUAAUACUGACUGAAUGGAAAAGAGUUCAGUUUAGGGUUUAAAAUCCUAAUGCUGACUACAUGAAAAAAGUUCAGUUUAGGGUUUAAAACUGUAAUGCUGACUGAAUGGAAAAGUUCAGUUUAGGGGUUUAAAACCCUAAUGCUGACUAAAUGGAAAAAGUUCAGUUUAGGGUUUAAAACCCUAAUGCUGACUAAAGAGAAAAAGUUCAGUUUAGGGUUUGAAACUCUAAUCCUGACUAAAGGAAAGAGUUCAGUUUAGGGUUUAAAACCCUAAUGCUGACUAAAGGAAAAGUUCAGUUUAGGGUUUAAAACCCUAAUGCUGACUAAAGGAAAGAGUUCAGUUUAGGGUUUAAAACCCUAAUGAUGACUAAAGAAAAAGUUCAGUUUAGGGUUUAAAACCCUAAUGCUGACUAAAUGGAAAGAGUUCAGUUUAGAGUUUAAAACCCUAAUGCUGACUACAUGGAAAAAGUUCAGUUUAGGGUUUAAAACCCUAAUGCUGACUACAUGAAAAAAGUUCAGUUUAGGGUUUAAAACCCUAAUGCUGACUGAAUGGAAAAGAGUUCAGUUUAGGGUUUAAAACCCUAAUGCUGACUAAAGGAAAAAGUUCAGUUUAGGGUUUAAAACCCUAGUGCUGACUAAAGGAAAAGUUCAGUUUAGGGUUUAAAACCCUAAUGCUGACUAAAGAGAAAAAGUUCAGUUUAGGGUUUGAAACUCUAAUCCUGACUAAAGGAAAGAGUUCAGUUUAGGGUUUAAAACCCUAGUGCUGACUAAAGGAAAAGUUCAGUUUAGAGUUUAAAACCCUAAUGCUGACUACAUGGAAAAAGUUCAGUUUAGGGUUUAAAACCCUAAUGCUGACUAAAGGAAAAGUUCAGUUUAGGGUUUAAAACCCUAAUGCUGACUGAAUGGAAAAGAGUUCAGUUUAGGGUUUAAAACCCUAAUGCUGACUACAUGAAAAUAGUUCAGUUUAGGGUUUAAAACCCUAAUGCUGACCAAAGAAAAAGUUCAGUUUAGGGUUUAAAACCCUAAUGCUGACUAAAGGAAAAAGUUCAGUUUAGGGUUUAAAACCCUAGUGCUGACUAAAGGAAAAGUUCAGUUUAGGGUUUAAAACCCUAAUGCUGACUAAAUGGAAAAAGUUCAGUUUAGGGUUUAAAACCCUAAUGCUGACUGAAUGGAAAGAGUUCAGUUUAGGGUUUGAAACUCUAAUCCUGACUAAAGGAAAGAGUUCAGUUUAGGGUUUAAAACCCUAAUGCUGACUGAAUGGAAAGAGUUCAGUUUAGGAUUUAAAACCUUAAUGCUGACUAAAGGAAAAGUUUAGUUUAGGGUUUAAAACCCUAAUGCUGACUGAAUGGAAAAGAGUUCAGUUUAGGGUUUAAAACCCUAAUGCUGACUACAUGAAAAAAGUUCAGUUUAGGGUUUAAAACCCUAAUGCUAACUAAAGGAAAAGUUCAGUUUAGGGUUUAAAACCCUAAUGCUGACUAAAGGAAAAAGUUCAGUUUAGGGUUUAAAACCCUAAUGCUGACUAAAGGAAAAGUUCAGUUUAGGGUUUAAAACCCUAAUGUUGAUUAAAGGAAAAAGUUCAGUUUAGGGUUUAGACCCUAAUGCUGACUAAAGGAAAAGUUCAGUUUAGGGUUUAAAACCCUAAUGCUGAUUGAAUGGAAAAGAGUUCAGUUUAGGGUUUAAAACCCAAAUGCUGACUAAAGGAAAAGUUCAGUUUAGGGUUUAAAACCCUAAUGCUGACUAGAGGAAAAGUUCAGUUUAGGGUUUAAAACCCUAAUACUGACUGAAUGGAAAAAAGUUCAGUUUAGGGUUUAAAACCCUAAUGCUAACUACAAGGAAAAAGUUCAGUUUAGGGUUUAAAACCCUAAUGCUGACUAAAAGAAAAGUUCAGUUUAGGGUUUAAAAUCCUAAUGCUGACUAAAGGAAAAGUUCAGUUUAGGGUUUAAAACUCUAAUGCUGACUGAAUGGAAAAGAGUUCAGUUUAGGGUUUAAAACCCUAAUGCUGACUAGAGGAAAAGUUCAGUUUAGGGUUUAAAACCCUAAUACUGACUGAAUGGAAAAGAGUUCAGUUUAGGGUUUAAAACCCUAAUGCUGACUACAUGGAAAAAGUUCAGUUUAGGGUUUAAAACCCUAAUGCUGACUAAAUGAAAAUUUCAGUUUAGGGUUUAAAA